GAUGAACGCUAGCUACAGGCUUAACACAUGCAAGUCGAGGGGCAGCACAGUGUAGCAAUACAUGGGCGGCGACCGGCGCACGGGUGCGUAACGCGUAUCCAACCUUCCCGUUACACAGGGAUAGCCUUCCGAAAGGGAGAUUAAUACCUGAUGGUGUUUGAAUUCCGCAUGUUAUUCAAACUAAAGAUUUAUCGGUAACGGAUGGGGAUGCGUGACAUUAGGUAGAUGGCGGGGUAACGGCCCACCAUGCCUACGAUGUCUAGGGGUUCUGAGAGGAAGGUCCCCCACACUGGAACUGAGACACGGUCCAGACUCCUACGGGAGGCAGCAGUGAGGAAUAUUGGUCAAUGGUCGGAAGACUGAACCAGCCAAGUAGCGUGAAGGAUGAAGGUUCUAUGGAUUGUAAACUUCUUUUAUACGGGAAUAACACCAUCUACGUGUAGAUGCCUGCAUGUACCGUAUGAAUAAGCAUCGGCUAAACUCCGUGCCAGCAG
RNAcentral lists this ribosomal RNA (494 nucleotides) under uncultured bacterium. Its description in RNAcentral is "bacterial SSU rRNA". It matches the Rfam family "Bacterial small subunit ribosomal RNA", at positions 28 to 514 of the family's 1533-position model. The record is from RNAcentral.